UUUUUUAGUUAAAUCUUAGUUUUUUUUUUUAAAGUAUUUACGUAUUUUAAUUUUUAAAUAUUUCAUUUUAUCUCUGGUCAGGUGACACUACUGAGGGUCUUCCUAUUCGAAUAUUUCAUAAUGUCAUAUAAACUUUGUCAUCAUACUUACUGAUUAUUGUAAAAUAGAUUGUAAAUAUAUGUAAAAAAAAAAAAAAAAAUAAAAUAUUUCAUUUUUACAUAAAAAUCAUUUUGAACAUUUAAACUCGUGUUGUACCUGCCAAACAACAUCUAAGUAUUUAUUUUAUCGUACUCUUAUUUUAUUAUUGACUUUAUACUCCAAAAAGCGAUCGAAGCAGAGCAUUUACCAGCAGAGAUAAGUAUCGAAUUACAAACGCUUUACCAUUACAGUAACCCACUUUUUUCCCCGGAUAGAACCGACAGCAGAGGAGGAUCUGUUUACUCAAUGCUACUCCUCUGCAGCCAUCGUUUAUUAAUGAAUAACAUUAAAGAUAUUUAAGCACGAUACCGUACAAACGAAUAUACACAGUAACCCACUUAACAUUUGCUAUACUACAGCAGAAUGCAGGUGCCUAAUCGUGCACCCUUUUUUUUAUUAAAUUGUUAUCAACCUUUGAUUCAAAGUUUUUUUCCGACACUUGAAGAUUGAGUUUUUAAGUCUCUAUGACAUAAAAUCGCCGAUUACACAUCAUCAUUUUAAACUUACUGUUGUGCGUGAGCUCAGAACCAAAAGGCGCUAAAUCAAUUUUUCAAAAAUCCAUAUUUUGAUACACGCGUGGAUCAAUUGAUCAAUGCUCUAUAAUCCAAGCUCACAUCCAACCUCGUAGGUCCAUUAUUUAAAGAUUAAUACAGAACUAAAAGGUGCUAAAUCGAUCAAAUCUACACAUUUGUUAUUUGAUAGCGAUCUUAAUAGCACCUUUUGGUUCUUAACAAUAGGUAGUAUUAAAACCUAAAGGUUCUAUCUAUAUGAUAAAAUAAAUUAGUGAAAACCAAAAAGUAAUAUCUCAUAUUCACUGUAUCGACCACACAAUAAUAAUAUGAUACUACAAUGUUAUUAAUUAUUGUACAUUUUUAUCAACAAAACAAAGAUUGUCAUGAAUAACUUACAGUAUUUAAAGUACCAACACCUCAAAGGGGGAAGAUAAAAGUUUGGGUGGUAUGGCCGUUACAAAUAUCCUACGUUGAAAAUAUCCCCGUUACAAAUAUCCCAACUAAAAAUAUCCUAUGUACAAAAUAUCCCCAGUAAUAUUAUCCCUUAAUUCAUAACAAUAUACAUAAAAAAUAUUUUUUUUUAAAUGACAAAUAAGAACCAGUCUAACUUCUCAAAAACUAUGUUAGUCAUACUAACAUACACACUAUGUGUAUAUCAUAGUAUAUAAUGUAUAUCAGUAGAAUUCAAUAUAAUAGUCAUUUAUGGACUUAUGGUUAUCUCAUGUUCGAUAUCUUUAUACAUAAUAUAAAGCACGGUUAUCUUAAGCCAUGAUAUAAAGCCGCGUAAUCAGAUACUAUUAGAACCUGUAAUAUUAAUACCUGUAUUUUGUUCAAAUAAUAAAAAUAAUAAUUGAAAUUUUCGGCAAUAUAUCGGAAUUACACGCAUUUCUCAACUUUAUACAAUAUGCUCUCGUAAAAGUAAUACUACGUUUCCUUUAAUUUAUAUUUUAAUGACUGACAGAACAAAAGAAACGUAUUCAGAAAUGUUUAAAUGUUCAAAAACUAAAAAACCAAACCUUAAUCUAUGUUAAUGGUUGAUUUUUAAAAUGCUUUUAUAUCAACUUUUAAAGAAGAAUUUCCAAGGCGGUAAUUAGAGAUUGCUUUUUUCAAUUUACCCGGUUAGUUUGGAUGAAAAUAUAAAAUAGUGGCCUACAGACAAAAUAUGGUCAAGAUUCUGAAUUUUCAUUACAAGUUCAACUUCUUUGUUCGUUGUCAUUUACACCACAAAAUAAAAUACGAGGAUUAGACGUUCAGGGCGGAAAGACGAAGAGGAGCACAUUUUAAUAUUGACUUGUGGAAUUGUUAUCAAUCAGUUAUUCACAAACAAUCCCGUUGAAUGGUGGCACCACGUCUUUAAUGGAUCUCUACAGGAGCUCAUCAUGCAUCGAUAUGGGAAUUUAUCAAGUGUAUCCAAUUAGAGCAAGGCCUUCAAGAAGCAAAAAUUGAAAAAUACAUGUCUGAUGAGCUACCCGUUAAAAAAAUGAAAGUUUACGAUAAGUUGGACGGACAAUUAAAAGAAGUGGUUCUUAACUAUGAUUUAUGAACAUGUUACUGUACUGAACUAUUGAAAAGGCAUUGCGUGUAAUUUUUCAUUUAAAAAAAUCUUUUAUAUGUAUGUUUAAUUUUAAAAAUAAUGUUAAUUUUAAGA
Myzus persicae (green peach aphid) is the source of this 2358-nucleotide long non-coding RNA. RefSeq lists it as uncharacterized. The record is from RefSeq and is a predicted model, not a curated record. Lineage: Eukaryota; Metazoa; Arthropoda; Insecta; Hemiptera; Aphididae. The transcript has 3 exons.